This 253-nucleotide ribosomal RNA is filed under the name uncultured bacterium. RNAcentral's name for it is "partial 16S ribosomal RNA". It matches the Rfam family "Bacterial small subunit ribosomal RNA", at positions 524 to 776 of the family's 1533-position model. The record is from RNAcentral.
UACGUAGGGUGCAAGCGUUAAUCGGAAUUACUGGGCGUGAAGCGUGCGCAGGCGGUUGUGCAAGACAGAUGUGAAAUCCCCGGGCUCAACCUGGGAACUGCAUUUGUGACUGCACGGCUAGAGUGUGUCAGAGGGGGGUAGAAUUCCACGUGUAGCAGUGAAAUGCGUAGAUAUGUGGAGGAAUACCGAUGGCGAAGGCAGCCCCCUGGGAUAACACUGACGCUCAUGCACGAAAGCGUGGGGAGCAAACAGG